This 645-nucleotide ribosomal RNA is filed under the name uncultured bacterium. RNAcentral's name for it is "bacterial SSU rRNA". It matches the Rfam family "Bacterial small subunit ribosomal RNA", at positions 167 to 810 of the family's 1533-position model. The record is from RNAcentral.
ACCCGCGUACAUGCCACCGGGGCAUCCCGGAGGCAGGAAAGGCUUCGGCCGGACAGGGAUGGGCAUGCGGCGCAUUAGGCAGUAGGCGGGGUAACGGCCCACCUAACCGACGAUGCGUAGGGGUUCUGAGAGGAAGGUCCCCCACACUGGUACUGAGACACGGACCAGACUCCUACGGGAGGCAGCAGUGAGGAAUAUUGGUCAAUGGUCGGGAGACUGAACCAGCCAAGCCGCGUGAGGGAGGAAGGUACAGAGUAUCGUAAACCUCUUUUGUCAGGGAACAAAGACUGGGACGCGUCCCCGGAUGAGUGUACCUGAAGAAAAAGCAUCGGCUAACUCCGUGCCAGCAGCCGCGGUAAUACGGAGGAUGCGAGCGUUAUCCGGAUUUAUUGGGUUUAAAGGGUGCGCAGGCGGUCUGUUAAGUCAGCGGUCAAAGCCCGGGGCUCAACCCCGGCCCGCCGUUGAAACUGGCAGUCUCGAGUUGGAGAGAAGUAUGCGGAAUGCGCGGUGUAGCGGUGAAAUGCAUAGAUAUCGCGCAGAACUCCGAUUGCGAAGGCGGCAUGCCGGCUCCACACUGACGCUGAGGCACGAAAGCGUGGGUAUCGAACAGGAUUAGAUACCCUGGUAGUCCACGCAGUAAACGAC